GUGAUCUUGGUGGACCUAUUAUUACUACACAAGUAACUAUUCCCAAAGAUGUAAGUAUCUUUAAUACUACCAGGAACAUUUUGUCACUUUUAUGAUUAUUCCUCCUUUCUGUAUAUUUUUUAAUUCAGAAGGUUUUAACAAAAAUACACAUUUAGGAUUGAGGUUAUGUUAAUGGACUUUAGUGAGCUGGGUUUUCUGCUGUUUGAGUCUUGUCAAGUGAUCAGUGCUAUUAAUAAAAGUAGUUAAGAGGGUUUUGAGCCCUUAAUUAACUAAGGGAAACAUUAGUGUGACAUAAAUACAUUAUAACUCAAACCUAGACAGGUUUAGGGAGCGUUAGAUAAUCAGUUAAGAGUCUGAAUGAAUAAAAUUAAUACAUUUCAUGCUCCUUGAAAAUACAGGUAGUAAAUGUUAAAAGUAUAUCGUAAACACAUACUUUUAAAAAAUCUUUUCAGUUGGCUGGAUCUAUUAUUGGCAAAGGUGGUCAGCGGAUUAAACAAAUCCGUCAUGAGUCGGGAGCUUCGAUCAAAAUUGAUGAGCCUUUAGAAGGAUCCGAAGAUCGGAUCAUUACCAUUACAGGAACACAGGACCAGAUACAGAAUGCACAGUAUUUGCUGCAGAACAGUGUGAAGCAGUAUGCAGAUGUUGAAGGAUUCUAAUGCAAGAUAUUUUUUCUUUUUUAUAGUGUGAAGCAGUAUUCUGGAAAGUUUUUCUAAGACUAGUGAAGAACUGAAGGAGUCCUGCAUCUUUUUUUUUUUAUCUGCUUCUGUUUAAAAAGCCAACAUUCCUCUGCUUCAUAGGUGUUCUGCAUUUGAGGUGUAGUGAAAUCUUUGCUGUUCACCAGAUGUAAUGUUUUAGUUCCUUACAA
This 865-nucleotide small RNA is filed under the name Pongo abelii (Sumatran orangutan). RNAcentral's name for it is "retained intron". The record is from RNAcentral. Lineage: Eukaryota; Metazoa; Chordata; Mammalia; Primates; Hominidae.